RNAcentral lists this long non-coding RNA (199 nucleotides) under Physcomitrium patens. RNAcentral describes it as "long non-coding RNA (PPAT_LNC011007)". Lineage: Eukaryota; Viridiplantae; Streptophyta; Bryopsida; Funariales; Funariaceae. The record is from RNAcentral.
GCUGAAGUCAGUGUUGUAAUGGUGAAUCGGGAUUUUUAAAUGAAGUGGGUUUGAAUACUCUUGACUGUUUUGUGAAAUCGAGUUACGUCUGUGAUUGAAGGAUUAAAAGGGUGUCUAUAGGAUUGAGUAUGCAGAGUGAAUGAAAUUUAUUGGGUUAAUCUAACAAGACAGUCAGUGGAUACAAGAUUGUAAGUACAAA